GGGGGUGUAGCUCAGUUGGUUAGAGCGCCGGCCUGUCACGCCGGAGGUCGCGGGUUCGAGCCCCGUCACUCCCG
This is a transfer RNA of 74 nucleotides. It matches the Rfam family "tRNA". From Rfam's summary of the family: Transfer RNA (tRNA) molecules are approximately 80 nucleotides in length. Their secondary structure includes four short double-helical elements and three loops (D, anti-codon, and T loops). Further hydrogen bonds mediate the characteristic L-shaped molecular structure. tRNAs have two regions of fundamental functional importance: the anti-codon, which is responsible for specific mRNA codon recognition, and the 3' end, to which the tRNAs corresponding amino acid is attached (by aminoacyl-tRNA synthetases). tRNAs cope with the degeneracy of the genetic code in two manners: having more than one tRNA (with a specific anti-codon) for a particular amino acid; and 'wobble' base-pairing, i.e. permitting non-standard base-pairing at the 3rd anti-codon position. The record is from Rfam.